UUUGACGUUAGCUGCAGAAGAAGCACCGGCUAACUCCGUGCCAGCAGCCGCGGUAAUACGGAGGGUGCGAGCGUUAAUCGGAAUUACUGGGCGUAAAGCGCAUGCAGGUGGUUUGUUAAGUCAGAUGUGAAAGCCCGGGGCUCAACCUCGGAAUUGCAUUUGAAACUGGCAGGCUAGAGUACUGUAGAGGGGGGUAGAAUUUCAGGUGUAGCGGUGAAAUGCGUAGAGAUCUGAAGGAAUACCGGUGGCGAAGGCGGCCCCCUGGACAGAUACUGACACUCAGAUGCGAAAGCGUGGGGAGCAAACAGGAUUAGAUACCCUGGUAGUCCACGCCGUAAACGAUGUCUACUUGGAGGUUGUGGCCUUGAGCCGUGGCUUUCGGAGCUAACGCGUUAAGUAGACCGCCUGGGGAGUACGGUCGCAAGAUUAAAACUCAAAUGAAUUGACGGGGGCCCGCACAAGCGGUGGAGCAUGUGGUUUAAUUCGAUGCAACGCGAAGAACCUUACCUACUCUUGACAUCCAGAGAACUUAGCAGAGAUGCUUUGGUGCCUUCGGGAACUCUGAGACAGGUGCUGCAUGGCUGUCGUCAGCUCGUGUUGUGAAAUGUUGGGUUAAGUCCCGCAACGAGCGCAACCCUUAUCCUUGUUUGCCAGCGAGUAAUGUCGGGAACUCCAGGGAGACUGCCGGUGAUAAACCGGAGGAAGGUGGGGACGACGUCAAGUCAUCAUGGCCCUUACGAGUAGGGCUACACACGUGCUACAAUGGCGCAUACAGAGGGCGGCCAACUUGCGAAAGUGAGCGAAUCCCAAAAAGUGCGUCGUAGUCCGGAUUGGAGUCUGCAACUCGACUCCAUGAAGUCGGAAUCGCUAGUAAUCGUGAAUCAGAAUGUCACGGUGAAUACGUUCCCGGGCCUUGUACACACCGCCCGUCACACCAUGGGAGUGGGCUGCAAAAGAAGCAGGUAGUUUAACCUUCGGGAGGACGCUUGCCACUUUGUGGUUCAUGACUGGGGUGAAGUCGUAACAAGGUAGCGCUAGGGGAACCUGGCGCUGGAUCACCUCCUUAUACGAA
This 1072-nucleotide ribosomal RNA is filed under the name Vibrio fluvialis. Its description in RNAcentral is "bacterial SSU rRNA". It matches the Rfam family "Bacterial small subunit ribosomal RNA", at positions 468 to 1533 of the family's 1533-position model. The record is from RNAcentral. Lineage: Bacteria; Pseudomonadati; Pseudomonadota; Gammaproteobacteria; Vibrionales; Vibrionaceae.